UGGGGAAUAUUGCACAAUGGAGGGAACUCUGAUGCAGCGACGCCGCGUGAGUGAUGAAGGAAUUCGUUUCGUAAAACUCUGUUCUAUGGGAAGAAAAGGACUGUACCAUAGGAGAAAGCUCCGGCUAAAUACGUGCCAGCAGCCGCGGUAAUACGUAUGGAGCGAGCGUUGUCCGGAAUUAUUGGGCGUAAAGGUUGCGCAGGCGGCUUUACAAGUUGGAUGUGAAAUAUUGUGGCUCAACCACAAACGUGCAUCCAAAACUGCAAAGCUUGAGUUAAGGAGAGGUAAGUGGAAUUCCUGGUGUAGCGGUGGAAUGCGUAGAUAUCAGGAGGAAUACCGGUGGCGAAGGCGACUUACUGGAAUUAAACUGACGCUCAGGCACGAAAGCGUGGGGAGCAAACAGG
This 404-nucleotide ribosomal RNA is filed under the name Fusobacteriota bacterium. RNAcentral's name for it is "Fusobacteria bacterium partial 16S ribosomal RNA". It matches the Rfam family "Bacterial small subunit ribosomal RNA", at positions 355 to 776 of the family's 1533-position model. Lineage: Bacteria; Fusobacteriati; Fusobacteriota. The record is from RNAcentral.